RNAcentral lists this ribosomal RNA (305 nucleotides) under uncultured bacterium. Its description in RNAcentral is "bacterial SSU rRNA". It matches the Rfam family "Bacterial small subunit ribosomal RNA", at positions 337 to 639 of the family's 1533-position model. The record is from RNAcentral.
GCCUACGGGGGGCAGCAGUGAGGAAUAUUGGUCAAUGGGCUUACGCCUGAACCAGCCAAGUCGCGUGAGGGAAGACUGCCCUAUGGGUUGUAAACCUCUUUUGUCAGGGAGCAACGCCGGCUACGUGUAGCCGGACUGAGAGUACCUGAAGAAAAAGCAUCGGCUAACUCCGUGCCAGCAGCCGCGGUAAUACGGAGGAUGCGAGCGUUAUCCGGAUUUAUUGGGUUUAAAGGGUGCGCAGGCGGGAGAUCAAGUCAGCGGUAAAAUGUCGGGGCUCAACCCCGGCCGGCCGUUGAAACUGGGUU